This 24-nucleotide non-coding RNA is filed under the name Arabidopsis thaliana (thale cress). Lineage: Eukaryota; Viridiplantae; Streptophyta; Magnoliopsida; Brassicales; Brassicaceae. The record is from RNAcentral.
AUGAUCCGAUUCAAUCUAAACCGU